This 1100-nucleotide ribosomal RNA is filed under the name metagenome. RNAcentral's name for it is "bacterial LSU rRNA". It matches the Rfam family "Bacterial large subunit ribosomal RNA", at positions 887 to 2049 of the family's 2925-position model. The record is from RNAcentral.
CGAAUACCCCGGGGGGUAGAGCACUGGAUGGGUAAUGGGGCCCCACAGGCUUACUGAUCCUAACCAAACUCCGAAUACCCGGGAGUACUAGAUGGCAGACACACUGCGGAUGCUAACGUCCGUAGUGGAGAGGGAAACAACCCUGACCUCCAGCUAAGGCCCCUAAUUCAUGGCUAAGUGGGAAAGCAGGUGGGACGACCAUAACAACCAGGAGGUUGGCUUAGAAGCAGCCAUCCUUUAAAGAUAGCGUAACAGCUCACUGGUCUAAAUAAGUUGUCCUGCGGCGAAGAUGUAACGGGGCUCAAGCCAUGAGCCGAAGCUGAGGAUGCACGUAGUGCAUGGUAGCAGAGCGUAGUGUGACAUAACACAACGCCUCCUUAGCUCCUUCGGGAGCAUUGGAGGCGAGGUGUUUUCGAUGAAGCCGGGGCGUGAGCCAACCGGUGGAGAGAUCACUAGCGAGAAUGAUGACAUGAGUAGCGACAAACAGGGUGAGAGACCCUGUCGCCGAAAGUCCAAGGGUUCCUGCUUAAAGCUAAUCUGAGCAGGGUAAGCCGGCCCCUAAGGCGAGGCAGAAAUGCGUAGUCGAUGGGAACCAGGUUAAUAUUCCUGGGCCAGGAGAUGGUGACGGAUUGCGAAGAUUGUUCCUCCUUAUUGGAUUGGAGGGGCCGUUUAGCAGUUCCUGGAAAUAGCCCUCCGUAGGACCGUACCCUAAACCGACACAGGUGGACUGGUAGAGAAUACCAAGGCGCUUGAGAGAACGAUGUUGAAGGAACUCGGCAAAAUACCUCCGUAAGUUCGCGAGAAGGAGGCCCGUUCAGUAGGCAACUAUUGGGCGGGGGCACAAACCAGGGGGUGGCGACUGUUUACUAAAAACACAGGGCUCUGCGAAGUCGCAAGACGACGUAUAGGGUCUGACGCCUGCCCGGUGCUGGAAGGUUAAAAGGAGGGGUGCAAGCUCUGAAUUGAAGCCCCAGUAAACGGCGGCCGUAACUAUAACGGUCCUAAGGUAGCGAAAUUCCUUGUCGGGUAAGUUCCGACCUGCACGAAUGGCGUAACGACUUCCCCGCUGUCUCCAACAUCGACUCAGCGAAAUUGAAUUG